UUGCGUCUAGUUGCUAACCGAAAGGUGCACUCUAGACGGACUGCCCGUGUCGAAUGGGAGGAAGGUGGGGAUGACGUCAAGUCAUCAUGGCCCUUAUGUCCGGGGCAACACACGUGCUACAAUGGUCGGUAUAAAGGGUUGCCAACCCGCGAGGGGAGCCAAUCUCAAAAAGCCGACCUCAGUUCGGAUCGGAGGCUGCAAUUCGCCUCCGUGAAGCCGGAAUCGCUAGUAAUCGCGGAUCAGCCACGCCGCGGUGAAUAUGUUCCCGAGCCUUU
RNAcentral lists this ribosomal RNA (275 nucleotides) under uncultured bacterium. Its description in RNAcentral is "partial 16S ribosomal RNA". It matches the Rfam family "Bacterial small subunit ribosomal RNA", at positions 1105 to 1382 of the family's 1533-position model. The record is from RNAcentral.